CCCGCCCCGACGGGGCGGGACGAGCCGCCCCAGCCCGGCUCCGAGGAGGGUAAAAGCGGGGCUGCAGGGACGGGGAGCACGGAGCCACCGCGGCUGCACUGCGGACACGGUUGCACCAGGUGCCGGGAUCGCCGCACACGCGAGCCAAACGUCCUCUGAGAUGGCAUCCGAGGUCAGGGGAGAUAAACUUUGGGGAGGAAGAUUCAGUGGAAGCACAGAUCCCAUCAUGGAGAUGCUCAACUCUUCCAUUGCCUAUGACCAGAGGCUGUCUGCAGUUGAUAUCCAUGGGAGCAUGGCUUAUGCCAAAGCCCUGGAGAAGGCUGGGAUCCUAACUAAAACUGAGCUGGAGAAGAUUCUGAGUGGCCUGGAAAAGGUA
Molecule: long non-coding RNA, 376 nt
Organism: Oxyura jamaicensis (ruddy duck)
Lineage: Eukaryota; Metazoa; Chordata; Aves; Anseriformes; Anatidae
Exons: 3
Source: RefSeq, a predicted model, not a curated record